GACGAACGCUGGCGGCGUGCUUAACACAUGCAAGUCGAGCGGUAAGGCCCUUUCGGGGGUACACGAGCGGCGAACGGGUGAGUAACACGUGGGUGACCUGCCCUCAGCUCUGGGAUAAGCCUGGGAAACUGGGUCUAAUACUGGAUAUGACUCCACGGUGCAUGUCGUGGGGUGGAAAGCCUUGUGCGGCUGAGGAUGGGCCCGCGGCCUAUCAGCUUGUUGGNGGGGUGAUGGCCUACCAAGGCGACGACGGGUAGCCGGCCUGAGAGGGCGACCGGCCACACUGGGACUGAGACACGGCCCAGACUCCUACGGGAGGCAGCAGUGGGGAAUCUUGCGCAAUGGGCGAAAGCCUGACGCAGCGACGCCGCGUGAGGGAUGACGGCCUGG
Molecule: ribosomal RNA, 390 nt
Filed under: uncultured bacterium
Lineage: Bacteria
Description: bacterial SSU rRNA
Rfam family: Bacterial small subunit ribosomal RNA
Source: RNAcentral